GAUGAAGAACGUAGCGAAAUGCGAUACGUAAUGUGAAUUGCAGAAUUCAGUGAAUCAUCGAAUCUUUGAACGCACAUUGCGCCCCCUGGUAUUCCGGGGGGCAUGCCUGUUCGAGCGUCAUUUCAACCCUCAAGCUCUGCUUGGUAUUGAGUCCAUGUCAGCAAUGGCAGGCUCCAAAAUCAGUGGCGGCGCCGCUGGGUCCUGAACGUAGUAAUAUCUCUCGUUACAGGUGCUCGGCGUGCUUCUGCCAAAACCCCAAUUUUUCUAUGGUUGACCUCGGAUCAGGUAGGGAUACCCGCUGAACUUAAGCAUAUCAAUAAGCGGAGGA
This 328-nucleotide unclassified non-coding RNA is filed under the name soil metagenome. RNAcentral describes it as "partial contains 5.8S ribosomal RNA, internal transcribed spacer 2, and large subunit ribosomal RNA". The stretch from base 1 to 120 matches the Rfam family "5.8S ribosomal RNA", at positions 35 to 154 of the family's 154-position model. The record is from RNAcentral.